AAGUCGUAACAAGGUUUCCGUAGGUGAACCUGCGGAAGGAUCAUUAACACGAGGUCUCUGAAUAAAACUACUUUCCGGGCUAUGAUUUACCAGAGAUUGCAAGCUUCGCGGGUUACAAGAGCAGGAUGAAGGUUCACGGGGGGGGUUUUAACGUUUGGAUACCGUGCGAACAUUGGAACAGUUACAAUCGACUGCGGUAGUUCUAUAGGCAUUGUUUCCCCAAGCAGUCAGUGUCUGAAAGUGUCAUUGAUUGUGCAAGGAUAGCGCUUCACGAUUCCUGCAGACCGUACACUCGGGCAGGAGCUAUGCCAAAGGGUCCCCAUGCCCCCUUAUAACCCCACAGUUUAAUGUGAAGCUCAAUGUAAUACAUUGGGUAAAAAAACCGAACAACUGUUAACAAUGGAUAUCUUGGUUCUC
This 417-nucleotide unclassified non-coding RNA is filed under the name fungal sp. Its description in RNAcentral is "partial internal transcribed spacer region". The stretch from base 1 to 46 matches the Rfam family "Eukaryotic small subunit ribosomal RNA", at positions 1786 to 1831 of the family's 1831-position model. The record is from RNAcentral. Lineage: Eukaryota; Fungi.